RNAcentral lists this ribosomal RNA (1491 nucleotides) under Helicobacter pylori Hp H-16. RNAcentral's name for it is "bacterial SSU rRNA". It matches the Rfam family "Bacterial small subunit ribosomal RNA". Lineage: Bacteria; Pseudomonadati; Campylobacterota; Epsilonproteobacteria; Campylobacterales; Helicobacteraceae. The record is from RNAcentral.
AGAGUUUGAUCCUGGCUCAGAGUGAACGCUGGCGGCGUGCCUAAUACAUGCAAGUCGAACGAUGAAGCUUCUAGCUUGCUAGAAGUGGAUUAGUGGCGCACGGGUGAGUAACGCAUAGGUCAUGUGCCUCUUAGUUUGGGAUAGCCAUUGGAAACGAUGAUUAAUACCAGAUACUCCCUACGGGGGAAAGAUUUAUCGCUAAGAGAUCAGCCUAUGUCCUAUCAGCUUGUUGGUAAGGUAAUGGCUUACCAAGGCUAUGACGGGUAUCCGGCCUGAGAGGGUGAACGGACACACUGGAACUGAGACACGGUCCAGACUCCUACGGGAGGCAGCAGUAGGGAAUAUUGCUCAAUGGGGGAAACCCUGAAGCAGCAACGCCGCGUGGAGGAUGAAGGUUUUAGGAUUGUAAACUCCUUUUGUUAGAGAAGAUAAUGACGGUAUCUAACGAAUAAGCACCGGCUAACUCCGUGCCAGCAGCCGCGGUAAUACGGAGGGUGCAAGCGUUACUCGGAAUCACUGGGCGUAAAGAGCGCGUAGGCGGGAUAGUCAGUCAGGUGUGAAAUCCUAUGGCUUAACCAUAGAACUGCAUUUGAAACUACUAUUCUAGAGUGUGGGAGAGGUAGGUGGAAUUCUUGGUGUAGGGGUAAAAUCCGUAGAGAUCAAGAGGAAUACUCAUUGCGAAGGCGACCUGCUGGAACAUUACUGACGCUGAUUGUGCGAAAGCGUGGGGAGCAAACAGGAUUAGAUACCCUGGUAGUCCACGCCCUAAACGAUGGAUGCUAGUUGUUGGAGGGCUUAGUCUCUCCAGUAAUGCAGCUAACGCAUUAAGCAUCCCGCCUGGGGAGUACGGUCGCAAGAUUAAAACUCAAAGGAAUAGACGGGGACCCGCACAAGCGGUGGAGCAUGUGGUUUAAUUCGAAGAUACACGAAGAACCUUACCUAGGCUUGACAUUGAGAGAAUCCGCUAGAAAUAGUGGAGUGUCUAGCUUGCUAGACCUUGAAAACAGGUGCUGCACGGCUGUCGUCAGCUCGUGUCGUGAGAUGUUGGGUUAAGUCCCGCAACGAGCGCAACCCCCUUUCUUAGUUGCUAACAGGUCAUGCUGAGAACUCUAAGGAUACUGCCUCCGUAAGGAGGAGGAAGGUGGGGACGACGUCAAGUCAUCAUGGCCCUUACGCCUAGGGCUACACACGUGCUACAAUGGGGUGCACAAAGAGAAGCAAUACUGCGAAGUGGAGCCAAUCUUCAAAACGCCUCUCAGUUCGGAUUGUAGGCUGCAACUCGCCUGCAUGAAGCUGGAAUCGCUAGUAAUCGCAAAUCAGCCAUGUUGCGGUGAAUACGUUCCCGGGUCUUGUACUCACCGCCCGUCACACCAUGGGAGUUGUGUUUGCCUUAAGUCAGGAUGCUAAAUUAGCUACUGCCCACGGCACACACAGCGACUGGGGUGAAGUCGUAACAAGGUAACCGUAGGUGAACCUGCGGUUGGAUCACCU